GACGAACGCUGGCGGCGUGCUUAACACAUGCAAGUCGAACGGAAAGGCCCUGCUUGCAGGGUACUCGAGUGGCGAACGGGUGAGUAACACGUGGGUGAUCUGCCCUGCACUUCGGGAUAAGCCUGGGAAACUGGGUCUAAUACCGGAUAGGAGCCAUCUUUAGUGUGAUGGUUGGAAAGUUUUUUUCGGUGUAGGAUGAGCUCGCGGCCUAUCAGCUUGUUGGUGGGGUAAUGGCCUACCAAGGCGGCGACGGGUAGCCGGCCUGAGAGGGUGGACGGCCACAUUGGGACUGGGAUACGGCCCAGACUCCUACGGGGGGCAGCAGUGGGGAAUAUUGCACAAUGGGGGCAAGCCUGAUGCAGCGACGCCGCGUGGGGGAUGACGGCCUUCGGGUUGUAAACUCCUUUCGCUAGGGACGAAGCUUUUUGUGACGGUACCUAGAUAAGAAGCACCGGCUAACUACGUG
Molecule: ribosomal RNA, 466 nt
Filed under: uncultured bacterium
Lineage: Bacteria
Description: partial 16S ribosomal RNA
Rfam family: Bacterial small subunit ribosomal RNA
Source: RNAcentral